GAUGAAGAACGUAGCGAAAUGCGAUAAUUAAUGUGAAUUGCAGAAUUCCGUGAAUCAUCGAGUCUUUGAACGCACAUUGCGCCCCCCGGCAUUCCGGGGAGCAUGCCUGUUCGAGCGUCUCCAGGACGAAUCCUCGCGCGAGUGAACGCGCGGUCGUGGCGGAGGUGGCGUGCCCGAGCAGGGCGGCCACCGCGCUGGAAUCCAUGGGCGGACGCCUGCCGCGUGGCCGAGCGUGAUAUGACGCAUUGGCGCUCGUGCGCGGCGAGGCUGCCAGCCCUGGCCCGUCUGUCGGGCGGGGUAGAUCACCACGUGGGAACUCCUCGAAUCAGGUAGGGAUACCCGCUGAACUUAAGCAUAUCAAUAAGCGGAGGA
RNAcentral lists this unclassified non-coding RNA (372 nucleotides) under soil metagenome. RNAcentral's name for it is "partial contains 5.8S ribosomal RNA, internal transcribed spacer 2, and large subunit ribosomal RNA". The stretch from base 1 to 120 matches the Rfam family "5.8S ribosomal RNA", at positions 35 to 154 of the family's 154-position model. The record is from RNAcentral.